GUCCCCAUCGUCUAGAGGCCUAGGACGUUACCCUUUCACGGUAAAGACACGGGUUCGAUUCCCGUUGGGGACGCCA
This 76-nucleotide transfer RNA is filed under the name Acinetobacter baumannii. RNAcentral describes it as "tRNA-Glu". It matches the Rfam family "tRNA". From Rfam's summary of the family: Transfer RNA (tRNA) molecules are approximately 80 nucleotides in length. RNAcentral also lists the same sequence under 3 other names. Lineage: Bacteria; Pseudomonadati; Pseudomonadota; Gammaproteobacteria; Moraxellales; Moraxellaceae. The record is from RNAcentral.